CUGAAACAAGUGUCCCUAUAGCGUCGCAUAAUCUAGAUGGACAAGUACCCUACUCCCAUCCAUGCGAGAGUCCUACUGCAGGCUCUACUUCUUCUUCUCAUAUGUCAUGCAACUACAACACAAUCUAAGCGGGGGAUACGAAAUAGUCGAAUCAUCGAUGGCAUCGAUAAGGAUAAGAUCAACUUACACGGGUUGUGCGUUAUAGACAAACCAGUCCUUGGUGACUACUGUUGCAAAGUGACGAAUCAGUGUUACAUAGACCUUCCGUCAUGCCUUGCUGAGUGCAACAAACCUGCAGACAUGGUGGCCAUGGAAACCCCUCCUUCACCUACCCUAUUCCCGUCAAAUUGAACUUUUGAUUGGAUAAAUAAUGUAUGAUGUGCAAAAAAAAUAAAAAUAAGUAUCUCUGUUGUCGUUAUAUUUGUCAUGUUGCGGUUUCAUUUUGGGCAGCAGUAGAGAGUAGGAAUCUUCGGGAAUAAAAGUUUAACUUUU
Triticum dicoccoides is the source of this 492-nucleotide long non-coding RNA. RefSeq lists it as uncharacterized. Lineage: Eukaryota; Viridiplantae; Streptophyta; Magnoliopsida; Poales; Poaceae. The transcript has 2 exons. The record is from RefSeq and is a predicted model, not a curated record.